Molecule: long non-coding RNA, 335 nt
Filed under: Brassica rapa (field mustard)
Lineage: Eukaryota; Viridiplantae; Streptophyta; Magnoliopsida; Brassicales; Brassicaceae
Description: long non-coding RNA (BRAP_LNC004158)
Source: RNAcentral
UUAUUUCUAGUGAAUUGUUUGAAAAUGGAUUAAUAGAUAAACCAGUAUUUGAAAUUGUGCUUUGUUCUUUUGUUUAUUUAUGUUUUUUUUGUUGUACUUAAUUCUAAACAUCACACGAUUACGGGUUGUAGUAUUUUUUUUUUUUUGAAUUAUACAGAGGUAUCUUGGCCCCACAUAAGUGAUCCAGACUAGUCACGUGUUGCCACGUGUCGGUCCUAAGGUGAUUACUGUUACAACGGUUGAGUUUAAUUAUCAUGAUUUUGUUGUAGUAUUACUGUUACAACGGUUGAGUUUAAUUAUCAUGAUUUUGUUUUUGGAAACUAGGUGUGUUGUCU